RNAcentral lists this ribosomal RNA (400 nucleotides) under uncultured bacterium. RNAcentral describes it as "bacterial SSU rRNA". It matches the Rfam family "Bacterial small subunit ribosomal RNA", at positions 355 to 772 of the family's 1533-position model. The record is from RNAcentral.
UGGGGAAUCUUGCACAAUGGGGGAAACCCUGAUGCAGCGACGCCGCGUGAGCGAUGAAGCCCUUCGGGGUGUAAAGCUCUUUCGACGGGAACGAUAAUGACGGUACCCGGAGAAGAAGCUGCGGCUAACUACGUGCCAGCAGCCGCGGUAAUACGUAGGCAGCAAACGUUGUUCGGAAUUACUGGGCGUAAAGAGUGUGUAGGCGGUUAGGUAAGUUUGGUGUGAAAUCUCCCGGCUUAACUGGGAGGGUGCGCCGAAAACUGCCUGGCUUGAGUACUGGAGAGGAUAGCGGAAUUCCUGGUGUAGCGGUGAAAUGCGUAGAUAUCAGGAGGAACACCUGCGGUGUAGACGGCUAUCUGGACAGUAACUGACGCUGAGACACGAAAGCGUGGGGAGCAAA